GAGGCGCGGGCCAACCUGGUAAAUGAGCCCCUAGCACCGGGCUGAAUGGGAGGAACUUGAGUUGCAGCGAAGGCGGAGCGUCAGCAGAGCAUGAUAGGAAUUAUGAUCAUUUCCGUUUUCAAGGAGAGGCAGCUUUAAACGUAUCCUAGGUGCCAUUAAGUAGACAGCUCCCUGCUGUCAAUGGGAUGAAGUUACUCCUUCCAAAUUAUUUAUCGCGCAUUUCCAAUGUGCCAAGCAUUUGUCAGAUAUUGAAGACACAAUAAUCCUUAUAAUUAACACCUUUUGGGAGUUUCUGCCCAGCUCACUAUGUCUCUGCUUCUCUGGGAAUUGUUGGUCUUCCAGCCAUGUUUGUACCACAUCCGCCAUCUGGCCCCCACCUCCCUUCAGAGUUCAUUGCAGCAGAGGUAGACACAGGAUGAUUCUUUCCUCUAAGCUUUGGACUUUUGAGUUGAUGCUCAUGCCUUGGGGCACAAAGAUGAUGGAGCAUCACGAAAGAUUCAAGAUCAGGACUCUCAAAAAGGCAGAGAAUAUUCUCAGACACAGCAAGGCAAUGAAGCCCAUGACACUUAACCAAGACCACAGCGAUUCAGAUCAAUCCACCUUCAUCAUUUGACUUGCAGCUCAGUUGAGGAGAGCACAUGCUCCCCACAAUGGGAACCACAUGCCUUGGCUUUGACAAGAGACUGUGUGAAGACAUGUUGGCAAAUUAAAUCUUAACAGCAUUAUUUCUUCCCAGGACUUAGAAUGCACCCCAGCCAGAAUAGCCACAGCAUCCUUUUCACCCUGUGUUAGGACUGAAAUCUACCUCUGGAAUGCCCAUUUUCAAAAGAGACACCAGCAAUUUUCUACAAGCCAAGUAGCCAAAUGGCCAAUUCAUCAAAUGGCCAAUCUGCAGACUAAUGGAUUUUCUGAAUGAACACUUUAUUAACAUUACCAACUUCUAAGAUCUAUAGAAAUCUCUGUUAGAUAGAAUAGUU
Long non-coding RNA from Mustela erminea (ermine), 977 nucleotides. RefSeq lists it as uncharacterized. The transcript has 4 exons. The record is from RefSeq and is a predicted model, not a curated record. Lineage: Eukaryota; Metazoa; Chordata; Mammalia; Carnivora; Mustelidae.